Molecule: ribosomal RNA, 271 nt
Filed under: uncultured prokaryote
Description: partial 16S ribosomal RNA
Rfam family: Bacterial small subunit ribosomal RNA
Source: RNAcentral
GUGUCAGCCGCCGCGGUAAUACGUAGGUGGCAAGCGUUAUCCGGAAUUAUUGGGCGUAAAGCGCGCGUAGGCGGUUUUUUAAGUCUGAUGUGAAAGCCCACGGCUCAACCGUGGAGGGUCAUUGGAAACUGGAAAACUUGAGUGCAGAAGAGGAAAGUGGAAUUCCAUGUGUAGCGGUGAAAUGCGCAGAGAUAUGGAGGAACACCAGUGGCGAAGGCGACUUUCUGGUCUGUAACUGACGCUGAGGCUCGAAAGCGUGGGGAGCAAACAG